GAUGAACGCUGGCGGCGUGCCUAAUACAUGCAAGUCGAACGAACAGACGAGUAGCUUUCUCCUCUGACUUUAGCGGCGGCCAGGGGAGUAACACGUGGAUAACCUCCCUCUCCCUCUGUCAUAACUUCGGGAAACCGGUGCUAAUACCAGAUAAUAUAUUGAGCCUCUUGGAUCAUUAGUGAAAGACGGUUUUUCUUUCACUUAUAGAUGGAUUCGCGCCGCAUUAGCUUGUUGGUAAGGUAACGGCUUACCAAGGCAACGAUUCGUAGCCGACCUGAGAGGGGGGUCGACGGCAACAGAAGUGAGAAGAGGCGCAGAAGCCUACGGGAGGAAGCAGUAGGGAAGAAUACGGAAUGGGGGAAAGAAGGACGAAGCAACGACGCGGGAGGAAGGAAGGUCGUCGGAGCGUAAAACUCUGUUUUUAGGGAAGAAGAAAGGUGGAAGGAACUAUGCACGGCUUGACGGUACCUAAACAGAAAGCCACGGCUAACUACGUG
This 497-nucleotide ribosomal RNA is filed under the name uncultured bacterium. RNAcentral's name for it is "partial 16S ribosomal RNA". It matches the Rfam family "Bacterial small subunit ribosomal RNA", at positions 28 to 507 of the family's 1533-position model. The record is from RNAcentral.